This 995-nucleotide long non-coding RNA is filed under the name Gossypium barbadense (sea-island cotton). RNAcentral describes it as "long non-coding RNA (GBAR_LNC013648)". The record is from RNAcentral. Lineage: Eukaryota; Viridiplantae; Streptophyta; Magnoliopsida; Malvales; Malvaceae.
UGGGAUUUUGUCGAUUAAUUUCUCUGAUCAUAUCCAACAGAUAUUGGUUAAGGAUAUGGAACUCAUGGUGGUGGUUAAAUUGCUAGGAUGGAAUAUAGGUUAUGCGGUUCUAUACAAUCAAGUUAGCAGUUUGUGGAAGCCAUCCAGACCGUUUCGGCUCAUGGACAUUGAAAAUGGGUACUUUUUAGUAAAAUUCCAGAGUGUGGAAGAUUUUGACAAAGUACUCUCUCAGGGUCCAUGGAUCGUAUAUGGUCAGUACUUGACCAUUCAGCCAUAGAUGAUUGACUUCAACCCACUUCAACCGUACCCGAGCAUGGUGUUGGCUUGGAUCAGAUUGUCUGGCCUUCCUGGACAUCUGUACAAGAGAAAGAUCAUUCUAAAAAUAGGGGGAUUGGUUGGGAGAGUGGAAAAAGUAGAUCUUAAUACUAUUAGUAGAUUUAGGGGACAAUUUGCCUGUUUAGCAUUAUCUGUUAACAUUGACAAACCUCUGGUUUCCUAGGUUCGGGUCAAUAGAGAAAUCCAAAAGGUCGAAUAUGAAGCCUUACCUUUAAUCUGUAUUAACUGUGGCAAAUAUGGAUACACGAAGGAUUUGUGCCCUCUAUUAAUCGGAAGCCGGGGUCAAAGAGAGGAGAAGGAGCCAGCGGUGGGUCCAUCGAGUUCGAAUGAAGAUCAGUCGAAUGAACCAGCGGUCUUCGGUCCGUGGAUGCAGGUUCAAAGGAAAUCGUGGCGAAAUAUUAGGGAUUCUCAAAAUCAAAGUUUGAAGAAACAAGGGAAAGCGAUGCCAGGGUUGAGAUUUGCGAUGCUAAUUAGGCCUGAUGAAAAUGAAGAAGAUAUGAGUAAGGGCUAGUUUGGUAAUUCUUUUUAAAAGUACUUUUAAAAAGUGCUGUGGGAAACUGUUGUAGGAAAGCGUUUUUGAGAGUGUUUUUAAAAAGUUUAGUUUAAAAUUUGAAUGUUUAGCAUUGCUGUCAAAAAGUACUUUUGAGAAAUAAAAUGUC